GCCUUAUCUCAUUCAAAGAGAAUCUUCCCCUAACUCGUUUUAUGCUUCGCUCCAUGAACGCCUCUGAGACCAAGCAUCUUAAAUCUCUUUGUCGGAUGUGAAAGCUCUCCUAGUAACUUCAAUCGAUUUGAGAAUACUUUACCAAGAUAUACAGCAAAGAUAGAUAUCGUCAGAAGUUAAAGGUUGAGGAUAACCGACAAAAAAUAAGAAGAUCCUAGAACUCAGCCGGAGUAAGCGAGCCGAAAACUCAUCUAGUGAAAUAGAGAGCUGAAGUUUUGAGUAAUCAGCUAGAAUUGGAGAGAAAAACACAUGAAGAACUGCUCUGAUCCGGUUGAUAUAGUUACAAAACAAAAUUCGCCACACUAAAACAAAAGUCGGAUUUAACCAAAAUGAUACAAUCGCCUGAUUGAAAAAAAACAAAUCGAUCUUUCGAUCGAAGAGAAGUAUUUUAUAUCAAAAACAUAAGAUAAAUCUCUUUCUCCUUGUGAAAGAUGAGAUUCCGGAAACAUGGAAGAAAAGAAAAAUUCUCUCUCUAAAAGAUGAGAGAGAACUCUAUUUCUCCUUAUUGAUCUUAAAGUCUUAAUAAAACAAUGUUAACAAUGCUACAUUAUGAGCCGAAUUUACAAAUUAUCUAAUAAUACAUUUUAAAAGCAAUAAAAGUAGUAGUAUUU
Brassica napus (rape) is the source of this 671-nucleotide long non-coding RNA. RefSeq lists it as uncharacterized. NCBI's taxonomy places the organism in Eukaryota, Viridiplantae, Streptophyta, Magnoliopsida, Brassicales, Brassicaceae. The transcript is spliced from 2 exons. The record is from RefSeq and is a predicted model, not a curated record.